AGACUUUUGGCAGCCCAACAGCACCAAAAGAAGUGGCCCAGGGCAGAACAAAGGAUGGCAGGAGGAGGGCCACAGAUUCAUCAGGCAGAGUGUGGAGGAUCAUCUGCAGGCCAAGGAAGGACUUCUUGGGUGCCAGAUAGGGAAGGAAGGGCCUUCCACUCUUCAUCGAUGGGGCCUAGAACUAGAGGGAGGUCCAAGGAUGAUGGCAGAGCUUCGGAGCACAUAGGCUGAGAAGCCAGAUCUGAUGACUUAGGGGCCAAACCCAGAGAGCUUUGGAAGCAGGUUCUGAAAUGGAUGAGACUAUCAUCUGAUUCUGCAGUGAGACCCUUUCAGGGCUAUCUUUGGGCUCAGCUAUGAGUCAUUGUUUCUCCAGGAUCCAAUCCAAGUCUGGACCCUGAGGCUUUUGUUGGACUCUCCAUACAAAGGACCUAGAACAGUGACUGUGAGAAAAGAAAGUCUAGAUCUAUUUCCAUUAUCAUCUUUUUUUUUUCAGGAUUGGCACCUGAGCUAACAUCUGUUGCCAAUCUUCUCCUUUUUUUUCUUUCUCCUCAAAGCCCCCCAGUACACAGUUGUAUAUUUUAGUUGUAGGUCCUUCUAGUUGUUUCAUGCAGGAUGCCACCUCAGCAUGGCCUGAUGAGCAGUGCUAGGUCGGCGCCCAGGAUCCAAACCAGGGAAACCCUGGGCCACUGAAGCAGAGCACACGAACGUAACCACUCAGCCAUGGGGCCGACCCGUAUAUUAUCAUCUUUAAUAGAUACAAUACUUUGGAAACAUCUUGAACUUUCUAGAGAUUUUGGAAUUUCCUCCCUCUUGGUUGUUUUUGUUACCUUUGUCUCCUUUCAUAUUUGAGCAAUGUUCAUGAUCCUUAUCUAUUUCAGAAUCAACAGAGGGAGGCCAUGUGCUGAAAACUCUGCAUUUUGCUAUGCAGCCAACAGGGAGGUGUGAAAGGAGAGUAGGGGGCUGAGACUCGGAAAGAAAGAGGUGGACCAGCAGGGUCGGCCCACAGGAGGUUCUCUGUUACCUGACGAGGGAGUUUCAGGUAGACAGGCAAUUUACAGUUGAGGGUAUCAGCCUCACAGCGUCAGGUUACUAUGCACAGUUUCCAUUUGAACUGCGCUCAGCACCCCUGCCAAGACGGCUGCUGGCUCCGUUUAAUGCACUAAUCAGCCUUUGUUAUGGAUAAGGUUUGCUAGGGUUUGCUCAUUGUUCCAGUUGCUUCCUUAAACAGAAGAAGGCACCAUUCUAACCCUCGCCUUCCCCAAGGCUGUCACCUGAGUUGGGCCGUGAUUAUCAUUAUAAUUCACUACGUUGUUUAUCUUAUAACUUGGAAGCAAAUUACAAAGCACUUUCUCCCCCAAAUCCCUGAC
This 1367-nucleotide long non-coding RNA is filed under the name Equus asinus (donkey). RNAcentral's name for it is "lncRNA (ENSEASG00005031126.1)". The record is from RNAcentral. Lineage: Eukaryota; Metazoa; Chordata; Mammalia; Perissodactyla; Equidae.